RNAcentral lists this non-coding RNA (26 nucleotides) under Homo sapiens (human). Lineage: Eukaryota; Metazoa; Chordata; Mammalia; Primates; Hominidae. The record is from RNAcentral.
UUGGUGCACCUGACUGCCUAGGUCUC